UACGUAGGGUGCGAGCGUUGUCCGGAAUUAUUGGGCGUAAAGAGCUUGUAGGCGGUUUGUCGCGUCUGCUGUGAAAUCUCAAGGCUCAACCUUGAGCUUGCAGUGGGUACGGGCAGACUAGAGUGUGGUAGGGGAGACUGGAAUUCCUGGUGUAGCGGUGAAAUGCCCAGAUAUCAGGAGGAACACCGAUGGCGAAGGCAGGUCUCUGGGCCACUACUGACGCUGAGAAGCGAAAGCAUGGGGAGCGAACAGG
Molecule: ribosomal RNA, 253 nt
Filed under: uncultured bacterium
Lineage: Bacteria
Description: partial 16S ribosomal RNA
Rfam family: Bacterial small subunit ribosomal RNA
Source: RNAcentral